RNAcentral lists this ribosomal RNA (484 nucleotides) under uncultured bacterium. Its description in RNAcentral is "partial 16S ribosomal RNA". It matches the Rfam family "Bacterial small subunit ribosomal RNA", at positions 30 to 507 of the family's 1533-position model. The record is from RNAcentral.
AUUGAACGCUGGCGGCAGGCCUAACACAUGCAAGUCGAGCGGAUGAAGGGAGCUUGCUCCUGGAUUCAGCGGCGGACGGGUGAGUAAUGCCUAGGAAUCUGCCUGGUAGUGGGGGAUAACGUCCGGAAACGGGCGCUAAUACCGCAUACGUCCUGAGGGAGAAAGUGGGGGAUCUUCGGACCUCACGCUACCAGAUGAGCCUAGGUCGGAUUAGCUAGUUGGUGGGGUAAAGGCCUACCAAGGCGACGAUCCGUAACUGGUCUGAGAGGAUGAUCAGUCACCCUGGAACUGAGACACGGUCCAGACUCCUACGGGAGGCAGCAGUGGGGAAUAUUGGACAAUGGGCGAAAGCCUGAUCCAGCCAUGCCGCGUGUGUGAAGAAGGUCUUCGGAUUGUAAAGCACUUUAAGUUGGGAGGAAGGGCAGUAAGUUAAUACCUUGCUGUUUUGACGUUACCAACAGAAUAAGCACCGGCUAACUUCGUG